RNAcentral lists this long non-coding RNA (31042 nucleotides) under Gossypium barbadense (sea-island cotton). Its description in RNAcentral is "long non-coding RNA (GBAR_LNC013219)". Lineage: Eukaryota; Viridiplantae; Streptophyta; Magnoliopsida; Malvales; Malvaceae. The record is from RNAcentral.
AAUUUGAAAGAUUGCAGUAAGCUUGAGAGUCUCCCAAGCAGCAUAGGUGGGUGUGAAUUCCUUAAAACUCUUCUUCUCUCUGGCUGCUCUAAACUUAAAAAUUUUCCAGAGAGUUUGCGACAACUAGAAUCUUUGGAGGAGCUUAACCUAAGUGAGACUGCCAUAACAACACCACCAUCCUUCAUUUUUCAUAUGAAAAAUCUCAAGUUUCUUUCUUUCCAAGGAUGCAAGGGACCACCAUAUAGAGUACGAUCACAUUGGCGUUUUAUUUCUACGCCCGCACCAAGACUUAGUACGAACUCUAUGACCUUGAAGCUACCUGUUAUUUUGUCUGGUUUGAGUUCUUUGAAGGAGCUGAAUUUAGAUGACUGCAACCUUAAUGAUGUGGCUAUUCCUGAUGACAUUAUCAGGUUGUCCUCAUUAGAAGCACUACGAAUUUCUGAUAACAAUUUCAGGAACUUGCCUACAACCCUUGGUGGACUUUCCAAGCUUACUACUCUAGUACUGACUGACUGCAAAAGGCUUAAAUCAUUGCCCGAGCUACCAGCAAGCCUAAAAUUAUGGUUGGAUGGUUGUGGUUCUUUGGAAGCAGUUGCAAAUUCGACUACAGCUUUCAAUUCACGGGUUACUGGAUAUAUUUGUGCUUUUAACUGCUUCAAAUUGGCAGAGGGUAACGAUGUAGUAACAAUGCUGAAGACACGGCUGAAGGUUAGUACCUUUAUUUUUUUCUAUUAUUGCUCCCAUUGAUUUAUGGUACUAGUUUCAGCAAAUGUGUCUUUGUUUGCAGCUAGUAGCAAAUGCAAGAACAGAACGUUAUAACAUUGUCAUACCGGGAAGUGAAAUCCCAAAAUGGUUUAGCAGUCAAACGGAUGACUCUUCAAAAUCUAUAAUAAAGAUGCCAUUGCCUCCCAAUUUUCUGAAUGAUACACAGUUCUUAGGCUUCGCUUUCAGCUGUGUUUUCUUCUCUGACUUCAAUAAUAAACCUCGAAGGGGGGAUCAUAUUUCGUAUGCAUUUGUUAUCCAUGGUAGAAAUUUCUCCGGAGAAUUUCAAACAGUCUAUUUCCAUUUAGAAGGUAAAUCUACGAGAGUGACCAAAGACCACCUUUGGAUACAUUAUUUGCCUCGUAACUACAUAGAUUUGUUGUCCCUGGUGGAAUUAGAAUGCAAAGAAACUGAGGUUUCUGGAUCCAGCACAGAUAUGUUGAAGGAAAGAUUUGAAAUUGAGGUUCCAUUCGAAAUCUGGGGCAUCAAUUCCAUGGUGAAGAAAUGCGGGGCUCGAAUAGUGUAUGAGGAAGAUUUGGAAGAGAUGGACCAAACCAUACAUGAACAUAGCGGGUCAACUUCUUCAAAUUUUGAUGAUAUGCAUUCAAACAGUGGAUCAAACGGGAAUAAUAAUGGCGCUCUUGUCAAGAGAAAAUGGUUAAGCCUUCACUUAUUUACAGUGAUUGAUAUAUGCUGUUAACUCCUGUUUUAUAAGGCUAAUUUACUUCAUAUCUUCGUGCUUUUCCAGGUUGAAUGCGAAAGCAGGUGAUCAGCGGAACACAACUCUAUUUUGUCGAUUCUGUCAAUCAUAUGUUGUAAACCAUCGGCUACUCUCCUAGCUUUAUAUUGUUUUAUCCAUUUUCUUUCAUAUGGAUUUAUCUUUUCGUACAACUUGUGUUUCAGUUUUGUUAUAGACGGAAAAUACAAUUGGUUAAAAUCAUUUAAUUAGCUAAUUCAGUAGAGUUUUCUCUAUCGGCUUUGUUAUCGAAUUUUUCUGAACUUACUGACUAGUCAUUGAAAUAAAGAGAAAGCAGAGUGAAUUUAGCAAAGUGAGGAAGAAAAAACUAAGUUCGUUUUCUAAACGACUUGUGGUCCCAUACAUAAAAUUCUUGUUAAAUGUUGAUAUAUUAUCUUAAUUGCUCAGUUAAUAUUAAACAAAUUUAUAUAUAGUUUAAUAAUUUUAGUUAGAAUAUAAUUUUUCGAUAUAAACAUUAAUUCUUUUUUCUAUUUAGGUUACUUAAUAAAUUUUAUUAUUUUUGAAUAAUGAAAUAAACUUCAAAGUUAAUCGGGACUAUUCUAUAUUGGGUUUAAUUAAUAAUAGAAAUUUUAAAACAUUGGAUAAUAGCAUAGUCAUUCUAUCCUUGGAUAACAUUUUGAAAUGUGCGUUCAAGAAGAAAUUGAAGCGUAAUCAUUUCCUUCUUUUGAGUAACCAUUGUAUUCUAGGGACAACAUUUUCAGACCAGUUGUGCCACAGUAAAGAAACUAAAUUAAGAAAGCUUCUUGGAAGUGUCUUGCCUAUAGCCUUUCUCAUUACUUAUUCUUUUAGCAUUAUUCUACUUGGUUGUAUUAGUCCAUCCCAAAACCACUAUAUACAACAAUUUUAGGAUACAUAUACUUCAUGAAAAAUGAAGAGUCUAAGGUAACAUAGAUUGAGAAGUGUAUAGAACCACAGUUUCAAGGUACAAAACAGAAAAUUUGGAAUUAAAGUUUAAUUAGGAGCCAACAAAUUUUUACAUUGCAAGCUAGAGAUUUAUAGUUUGAAUCUCAUUGUUAGAUUAAGCCUUUCAUGUUCUUGACAGAUUGGUCAAGUUUGCAAGAUGAGUUUCUAUUUCUUAAAAGUUUUUAUUUUUAUAAUUGUCACGCUCUUAUGAUCACCCACCCGAAGACCAAAUAAGGUUCGGGUCUCCUACCUGAGACCUGAAUAGGGCUCACUAGAUGGAUGCGGGCAAGCCUCACAGUAUGAAGCUCACAAGAGGUGUUCGCAAGAGGAGCUCAAGGAUCUUGCUCACUCAUGAUAGGGGGUGUUCACAAGGGGAGCUCGCGAUCUCAACUUGCAUAUGCCUAAGGAGUGUCAAGCAGGCAACCCAAAACAAUACACGUUUCCAGCAUGCAUAGAGUUCGCUAGGAACGUCAAUUCUAUGAAAAGAAGCUAUGUAUAUAAAUAUUCUAUUGUCCCCUCUAGUGAGACAUAAUGAAAAUUUACUUAACAAUUGGUGCGGUGAGCGUGGACAAAUUUCCAACUGACAGAUUUCUAUCAAGUUUGAGAAAAAUUACCAGAAGUGAAGAUGGUUCACCCAAAUAAGAAUUUCCCUUUCAAUCUUUCGUUGAGACAGUUUAGAGCCUCGAGUUCUAGUAGUUAACCUAACGAAGCAAAUUUGUUUGCCGAUCAACCAGAGAACUAAGGAUUGUUUCACUCUAAAGGAUGUAAUCGAAGAACCAAUGAGAAAUAAGGAGCUUUCCUAGUUUGUUGAUCAAGGUGUUUCCCAACAAGGUCAGACUUUACAUGGUGAUCCCAAGGGUAAACAGAAGGUUAAAGGUAUCAUCCAUGUAAUUGUAGGAAUAGAUGAAAAGUGAGUAGGUUCUAGUGCAAAAAAGAAUGUACAGAUGAGAAGUGUGAUGUCUAUUAGCACCCCUAAAAUGUCAUGUCAACAGGGAAGAUAGAGCGUUAAAUUUGGUAAUGAUGAUGAGGAGUUGGUAUGUGACGAAGAGGGUAAUGAUCUAAUGGUUAUAUCUAUAACAAUAGUAGCUUUUAAGUUUAAAAGGAUACUUGUAGACAGUGGUAGUGUAGUAGAAGUGUUAUCUUGGGAAGCGUAUCAGAAGACAUGGCUAAAGGAGCAAGCAUUGUCUAAAGCUAGCCUACUGUAUGGUUUUGCAAACUAUCCUGUUGAGGUGAAAGGCUUGACCACUUUAUCGGUCACCUUGAGGGAUAACGAGCAUACAACUACGGAGUAUGUCUAGUUCUUUGUUGUAGACCAUCCCAUGAAAGACAAUGCUAUCUUUGGGCUACCAAUAAUGACGAUGAAAAAAUUGGUUACUACAACGUUUUACAUGAAGAUUUAGUUCCCAACAAGGAUGGUGGUUGGGUUUUUGCGAUUGGAUCAGUGAAUUACGAGGUAAUACCAUAUGUUGUUGGUUAAGCAAUUCCAAGAGCCAGUAGUUAGAGGACAGAGUUCGCAGGGUGUAGAGUUACAAAGUUAAGUCUUGGACUUGAAUAACGUGGAUGUGAGGGAUGAAGAAAUAAAUAAAAAGCAGCAGAGCAUACUGGGACUUUACAACUAUUCUGUGACAAUGAGGAAAGAAUUGUAAAGAUUUCAUCAGCGUUGGUAACAGAAGACAAUAGCAUAUUGAUUCGGUGUCUGAAGGAAAACUCAGACGUUUUUGCUUGGUUAGCGGCAGACAUGCCAUGGGUAGAUGGAUACAAUUGGUGCAGUGAGCAUGGACAAAUUUCCAACCGACAGAUUUCUUUCAAGUUUGAGAAAAAUUACCAGAAGUGAAGAUGGUUCACCCAAAUAAGAAUUUCCCUUUCAAUCUUUUGUCGAGACAGGUUGGAGCCUCGUGUUCUAGUAGUUAACCUAAUGAAGCAAAUUUGUUUGCCGAUCAACCGGAAAACUUUGACAAUGCGGCCUAUCAGGGAGUUUUCGGUCCAUUGGGCUUGAACAUAUCCACUAGUUGUGGGUUGCCACUCCCUCCCAACUAAUAAGCAUUGUCACAAUAGUUCCUUGCUCUCCAGGAGUAGAUGAAGUUAAUGAAAGAUCAAAUGGUUGCACAAGAGGAAUGGUUUGAGCAAUAAUAGACUUUUCAGCAAAAGUUAUUGAAAUAGAAUAAAGAGUUAAGAAGGAAGGUAAGCUCUGACACUUCUAAUUUUCGUGACAAUUUGAGUGCACAAGACAAAGCUUCAGGUAUGCAUGCAAGAUAAUAGCAAAACGAAAUGGAUGAGUUGCAAAGAGACGUGAGAACGUUGCACCCUAAGUCUCAAGACAUGGAUUGACACCAUUUAAUGUAAUACAAUUAUUAUAGCUGAGAGCAUUGGAUUAAAAAAAGUGUAAAGCAUUUUCCACGACACUAAAAGGGAGUGCGGAAGAUUGGUACUUGUCCCUUUCUCAAGGCUCUGUUCAAAGUUUUUCUCAAUUGGGUCAGAUCUUCUUGGAAAGAUUUAGGCUCCACAAGGCAACCAUAAGUAUGCCUAGGGGUUAAUGCCAAUGAAACAGAGGCAAGGAGAGUCUCUCCAAGAUUAUGUGAAGCGGUUUCAUGCAACGAAUUUGAACACGAAGAACUUGGAGGAUCAGUGGGCUAUCGAUGUUUUCAUCAUGGAGGUACAAAAUGAUCAUGUACAAUACUCUUUUAUCUAUAACAGGCCAUGAAGUUUGGCAAGUCUGUACCAGUGAGCCUACAAGUUCGUAAAGGCGGAGGAGAUUAAAAGGGUAUCACAUAGUAUUGUUCAGAGGGAAGACAAGCAGUUUAGAAACUGAGAGGCAACUCGCAGCAAACAAGGCCCUCCUAACCAGUCAUUGCGAGCAAGAGGUGAUAGCUGGUAGAGAAAUCAGAUGCAAGGUGAUUCUCCUAGGGCUCUCCAGAGGUCUCAACUAGAGCAUACUAGGAAGUACAUUCCCUAAGGUGUGUUUAAAGUUUACACUUAUUUGAAUGCUACCCAUUCUUACAUUCUGAACCAAGUAAAAAGUCUUGGUAUCCUGCCCAAGCCAUCCUGCCCAAGCCAUCUCUAAUGAGGCAUAGUACAAGGAGGUUCAACUAGAGAGAUAGGUGUGCCUUCCACAAUGAUGUUAGACACAAAACUAAGGAUUGUUUCACUCUAAAGGAUGUAAUCGAAGAACCAAUGAGAAACAAGGAGCUUUCCUAGUUUGUUGAUCAAGGUGCUUCCCAACAAAGUCAGACUUUACAUGAUCUCAAGGGUAAACAGAAGGUUAAAGGUAUCAUCCAUGUAAUUGUAGGAAUAGAUGAAAAGUGAGUAGGUCUAGUGCAAAAAAGAAUGUGCAGAUGAGAAGUGUGAUGUCUAUUAGCACCCCUAAAAUGUCAAGUCAACAGGGAAGAUAGAGCGUUAAAUUUGGUAAUGAUGAUGAGGAGUUGGUAUGUGACGAAGAGGGUAAUGAUCUAAUGGUUAUGUCUAUAACAAUAGUAGCUUUUAAGUUUAAAAGGAUACUUGUAGACAGUGGUAGUGUAGUAGAAGUGUUAUCUUGGGAAGCGUAUCAGAAGACAGGGCUAAAGGAGAAAGCAUUGUCCAAAGCUAGCCCACUGUAUGGUUCUGCAAACUAUCCUGUUGAGGUGAAAGGCUCGACCACUUUACCGGUCACCUUGAGGGAUAACGAGCAUACAACUACGGAGUAUGUCUAGUUCUUUGUUGUAGACCAUCCCAUGAAAGACAAUGCUAUCUUUGGGCUACCAAUAAUGACGAUGAAAAAAUUGGUUACCACAACGUUUUACAUGAAGAUUAAGUUCCCAACAAGGAUGGUGGUUGGGUUUUUGCGAUAUGAUCAGUGAAUUACGAGGUAAUACCAUAUGUUGUUGGUUAAGAAAUUCCAAGAGCCAGUAGUUAAAGGGCAGAGUUGCAGGGUGUAGAGUCACCAAGUCAAGUCUUGGACUUGAAUAACAUGGAUGUGAGGGAUGAAGAAAGAAGUAAGAAGCAGCAGAGCAUACUGAGACUUUACAACUAUUCUGUGACAAUGAGGAAAGAAUUAUAAAGAUUUCAUCAGCGUUGGUAACAGAAGACAAUAGCAUAUUGAUUCGGUGUAUGAAGGAAAACUCAGACGUUUUUGCUUGGUUAGCGGUAGACAUGCCAGGGGUAGAUGGAUACAAUUGGUGCGGUGAGCGUGGACAAAUUUCCAACCGACAGAUUUCUUUCAAGUUUGAGAAAAAUUACCAGAAGUGAAGAUGGUUCACCCAAAUAAGAAUUUCCCUUUCAAUCUUUCGUCGAGACAGGUUGGAGCCUCGAGUUCUAGUAGUUAACCUAAUGAAGCAGAUUUAUUUGCCGAUCAACCGAAGAACUUUGACAAUGCGGCCUAUCAAAGAGUUUCCGGUCCAUUGGGCUUGAACAUAUCCACUGGUUGUGGGUUGCCACUCCCUCCCAACUAAUAAGCAUUGUCACAAUAGUUCCUUGCUCUCCAGGAGUAGAUGAAGUUAAUGAAAGAUCAAAUGGUUGCGCAAGAGGAAUGGUUCGAGCAACAAUAGACUUUUCAGCAAGAGUUAUUGAAAUAGAAUAAAGAGUUAAGAAGAAAGGUAAGCUCUGACACUUCUAAUUUUUAUGACAAUGUGAGUGCACAGGACAAAGCUUCAGGUAUGCAUGGAAGAGAAUAGCGAAACGAGAUGGAUGAGUUGCAACAGGACGUGAGAACGUUAUAACAAUCCAUUGGCCCCUGAGAUAGCAACAGUGAACUUGUCGUGCGAUUUUAAAGUCCCAAAGGACAUGUUUGAGAGGAGAAAAGACCUGCGAGCCCGUUUAAGGCAAUACAAUUAUUAUAGCUGAGAGCAUUGGAUUCGGAAAAGUGCAAAGCUUUUUUCACGACACUGAAAGAGAGUGCGAAAGAUUGGUACUUUUCCUUUUCUCAAGACUCAGUUCAAAGUUUUUCUCAAUUAGGCCAGAUGUUCUUGGCAAGAUUCAGGCUCCACAAGGCAACCAUGAGCAUGCCUACGGGGUUAAUGUCAAUGAAACAGAGGGAAUAGAGUCUCUCCAAAAUUAUGUGAAGCGAUUUCAUGCGACAAAUUUAAACAUGACGAAUUUGAAAGAUCAGUAGGCUAUCGAUGCUUUUAUCAUGGGGGCAGAAAAUGAUCAUGUACAAUACUCCUUUACCAAUAACAGGCCAUGGAGUUUGGCAGAUCUUUACGAGCGAGCCUACAAGUUCGUAGAGGCAGAGGAGAUUAAAAGGGUAUAGCAUAGCACUGUUCAGAUGGAAGACAAUUAGUUUAGAAACUGAGAGGCAACUCGCAGUAAACAAGGCCCUCCUAACCAGUCAUUACGAGCAAGAGGUGAUAGCUAGCAAAGAAAUCAGAUGCAAUGUGAUUCUCUUAGGGCUCUCUAGAGGUUUCAACUGGAGCAUACUAGGAAGUACAUUCCCUAAGGUGUGUUUGAAGUUUACACUCAUUUUAAUGCUACCCAUUCUUACAUUCUGAACCAGGUAAAAUGUCUUGGUAUCCUGCCCAAGCCAUCUCCAAUGAGGUAUAGUACAAUGAGGUCCAACUCGAGAGAUAGAUGUGCCUUCUACAAUGAUGUUAGACACUAAAAUAAGGAUUGUUUCACCCUAAAGGAUGCAGUUGAAGAAGCAGUGAAAAACGGCGAGCUUGCCAAGUUUGUUGAUCAAGGUGUUUCUCAGUAAGGUCAGACUUCAUAUGGUGAUCCCAAGGGUAAACAGAAGGUUAAAGGUACCAUCCAUGUAAUUAUAGGAAUAGAUAAAAAGUGGGUAGGUUUUAGUGCAAAAAAGAAUGCGCAGAUGAGAAGUGUGAUGUCUAUUAGCACCCCUAAAAGGUCAUAUUAGCAGGGAGAAUAAAUCGUUGAAUUUAGUAAUGAUGAUGAGGAGUUGGUAUUUGACGAAGAGGGUAAUGAUCUUAUGGUUGUGUCUACAACAAUAAUAGGUUUUAAGUUUCAAAGGAUACUUGUAGACAGUAGUAGUGUAAUAGAAGUGUUAUCUUGGGAAGCAUAUCAGAAGAUGGGGCUAAAGGAGCAAGCAUCGUCCAAAUCUAGCCCACUGUAUGGUUUUGCAAAGCAUCCUACUGAGGUAAAAGGCUCGACCACUUUACCUGUCAACUUGGGGAUGACAAGCACACAACUACGGAGCAUGUCUAGUUCUUUGUUCUAGACCAUCCCAUAGAGUACAAUGCUAUCUUUGGGCGACCAAUAAUUAAACUCUUUAAUUAACUCCAGGACUAGCCUUCAUACUUGAUCAACUUAGGAUCCCCUGUCUCCCAUUCACCUUUGAGUUGAUAGAUUACUAAUGUAAAAUCCCCAUAUACCUCUAGUAUUUUGAUAUUGAAUUCUAUAGCUACACGGAUACCCAUGAUGCAUGCCUUGUAUUCUUCCAUAUUGUUCGUGCAAUUAAAAUCCAAUUUACUAGUAAAGGGAUAGUGAUCUUCGUUUAGGGAUACUAAGACAGCCCCGAUUCCGUUACCCAUAGUGUUGGAGGCCCCAUCAAAGUUUAGUUUCCAGGGAUGUUCUUUUUGAGCACCUUCUUUAGUAGUCGCAACAUACAUCAAAUUUUUAUUUGAGAAAUCAAAAUUCAAAGGCUCAUAAUCUUUUAGAGCUCUACUGGCUAGAAAAUCUGCUAUUGAACUCCCUUUUAUUGCUUUCUGGUUCACAUAGGCUAUAUCAAAUUUGGAAAAUUGAAUUUGCCAUCGAGUCAUUCUUCCAUUCAGAGCAAUCAACUCCAUCACAUACUUUAGAGGGUCCAUCAUUUAGAUUACCCAUGUUGUAUGGUACAACAUGUAUUGUCUUAGUCUCAGGGUUGUCCAGAUUAAGGUGCAAUACAACUUCUCAAUUGGCGAAUAUCUUGUCUCCCAUUCAUUAAACUUCUUACUGAGGUAAUAUAUCGCUCUUUUCUCCCUGACUCAUCAUGUUGGCCAAGUACGCAUCCCAUGGAAUUUCCAAAUAUUGCCAAGUACAAUAUUAGUGGCUUUUCUGGGUAAUGUGACAUCAGCACUAGGGAUUUAGACAAGUAAUGUUUGAUCUUGUCGAAAGUCUUCUGGAACUCCUUAUCCCGUAUGCCUGGGUUGUGUUUCAUAAGGAGAUGGAAUAUGGGGUUGCAUUUCUCAGUUAGUUGUGAAAUGAACCGGACGAUAUAAUUUAGUCUUCCUAGGAAACCUUGAACUUCUUUUUGAAUGCGCGGCAGAGGCAACUCAUAUAUAGCUUUAACUUUAGAUGGGUCGAUCUUGAUCCCUUUUUCACUAACUAUAAACCCUAGCAAUUGUCCUGCCCUAGCCCUGAAGGUACAUUUUACUGGAUUGAGAUUUAGCUGGAAUUUUCUCAACCUCAAAAAUAAUUUCCCCAAGACUUGCAUAUGCUCUUUUUCUGUUCUGGAUUUUGAGAUCAUAUCAUCGACAUAAACCUCAAUUUCUUUAUGCAUCAUAUCAUGAAACAAGGUUUCCAUGGCUCUUUGAUACGUCACUCUCACAUUUUCAGUCCGAAUGGUAUCACUUUAUAGCAGAAUGUUCCCCACAUAGUUACGAAUGUCGUCUUUUUCAUGUCUUCUUAUGGAUGUAUCUUUAUCUAGUUGUAACUGGAAAAGCCAUUCAUGAAGAAGAACAGUGAGUAACCUGCCGUGUUGUCCAAUAAGGUGUCAAUGUGAGGCAAUAAGAAAUUAUCUUUUGGGUUGGCCUUAUUUAAAUCCCUAUAGUCUACACACAUUCAUACUUUCCCAUCUUUCUUAGGAACGGGGACAAUAUUAGCUAACCAUUAUGAGUAUUUAAUCACUUUUAGGAAACCAACGUCGAAUUACUUCUUAACCUCUUCUUUUAUUUUCAGCAAGAUGCCGAGCCUCAUCCUUCUGAGCUUCUGUUAAACUGGCUUGCACUCUUCCUUUAUGGGGAGUCGGUGUACCACGAUAUUAGUGUUUAGCCCAGGCAUAUCUUGAUAUGACCAUGCGAAGACAUAUUUGAAUUCUUGGAGCAACUCAAUGGGGUUUCACUUUGUCUUUGCGGUGAUACAAGCUCCGAUCUUCAUCUCUUUCUCUUCUCCUAAGCUCACAAUUUCUACUGAUUCUUUGUGAGGUAGGAUUUGAUUCUCAUCUUGUUCUACCAUCCUUAACAAAUUAGGAGAUAGGUUACAAUUUCGAUCAUCUUCAAAGUCUUGAAGUUCCUCUAGACACAUAUCUUACUCAAAAGGAGAUUCUGAGUCAGUAACAAUGUCGCUCAUAUCAUUGAUAUCUGGAGACCUGUUAUAUGAACGAAGAAAGACCCAAAAAACAAAUGAAUCUAAAAAUAAACAUUUGUGUGGUAUGAGUAUGAAUGAAAUGGAAGAAAUAAAAUAAUAUUUUCCAAAAUGAAACAAAAAUAUGCAUUUUAUUAAAAUAAAGCUAUUGGACAUAUGCCUAUUUCACAAAAGGAUUCUUAUUGCUCACGGGCUUUGAGCAAUAAGUGUGAUUUGAACAUUACUUUGAAUUAGUUCUAAAUAUUGCAAGGAUCUUUUUGAAUCUAAUUGUUCAGAACACUUUCGAGGAUAUAAGGACAAAUGUCUGACAGGUUUUCUUCCCUAAUUCUUUAUUUGGAUUUGGUGUUGAUGCUUAGAUUUCCCAACAUUCCUUCCAGUCCUUUGACCUCUUCAAAGAAUUCCAACUCUUUGUUAUCCAUUAGACUUUGUACCAAAGCUUUGAAUUCAACUCACUCUUGGAUUCCAUGACCUUCUUUAGCGGGGAACUCGCAGUAGCUCCUCACUUCUUUAGGUUUCUCCUCUGAAUCUUGCAUGAUUAUCCUCCGUCUAUCAUCUUUUUCCAAACUCAUUUUAGUGAGAUUUUUACUUCCACCACAUCAAUUUUGGUUCUCUUUCCUCCACUUUCAAUUAUCGCGUUCACCCCUUAAUCUGAAUGACUGAGUAACAGAUUUCCUACCACAUUAGGUCCUGAUAGAUCAUCGAACCUAACGAUCCCCAUCUUGAUGAACCUCUUAAUCAACUUUUUAAAUGCAGUACAGUUCUUAAUUAAGUGUCCCGUUAUUCCUGCUUGGUACUCACGUUAAACAUUCACAUCGUACCAUUUUGGGAAUGUAAGUUGCAUGGGUUUUAAGUAAAAGAGGGAUACCACAUGCGCAUUGAUCAUAUUCUGACAUAACUCCUUAUAUGUCAUCAGGAUAGGUGUGAACUGGAGUUUUUUGUGUUUGGUAUUGAGUUAGAUUCUUGCCUUGAGUGGCCUUGAUGGCUGGUUGUUACGGUCUUUGGUUGGACUACAGUGACCGUCUUGAAUAACCUUUAUUAUACACGCUCGCGUUACUCACUUCAUUUUCCUUAUUCCUCGGGGUUGAUCUUUUGGCGUUUUUCCCCGCAUCUAUUUUCUCACUCCUUACUACAUUUUCAAUCAUCUCACUAGACAUUACUAUAUCUGAUAUACUCUAUGUAGUGCUUCCCAACAUAUGGUUAAUGAACAGGGCUUUCAAAGUAUUUAUGAAAAGUAUUAUUGUCUCUUUCUCCAAAAGAGGAAGUUGGACUACGUUGCCACCUCUCUCCAUCUUUGAGCGUAAUACCUGAAGCUUUCACUCUGCUUCUUUUCCAUGUUUUGCAAUGUAAUCUUGUCAGGCGUCAUGUCAGUCACAUGAAUGUAUUGUUUCAUUAAAGUCUGUGCCAAAUUUUUCCAUGCGCUUAUUUUGGCACCAUUUAGCUGGUUGUACCACUUGGCAAUCGACCCAACCAAACUCUCUUAGAAGUAGUAAAUUAAAAAUUGGUCAUUAUUGACGUAUCCCGUGAUUCUUUGGUAGAACACUAUGAUGUGGGCUUCAAGACAACUAAUCUCAUUAUAUUUUUUGAAUUCUUGAGUCUUGAAUUUUAGUGGGAGUACUAGAUCCGGGACUAAACAUAAAUCCUUAGCAUCAACCCCGCAAAGGUAGUCAGCAUUCUCUAUAGCACUAAAUUUCUCCUUCAACCACUUGCAUUGAUCUUCUACUUGUUUUGUCAAUUCUACUCUUGCUCUAUCCAUUUUAGCCAUGUCAUCCAAAUCAAAAAAACUGGGUUGGUCAGAUUAUCCUCGGGAUUGGAAUCUGAACCUGUUAGGUAGUUCACCGGUGCUGAGGUACCGACUUAAUAUUGUUAAGGUAUUAUGGUAACGGGUACACCUCGUGGAUAUGUUUCUGGUUGGGCUUGGACAUUUACUGGGGUAAAGCCUAGGGGAUAUGUAGGGGAAAAGAAAGAAAUAGCCAAACAAAAUCAAAUGAAAAUCGAGAAAAUAAAGUUGAAUGUGUCAAAUCUCAGCAAAGUUUUGAAGUUGUAAAUAUCAAAGCGCUUGGAGACUAUUGAAGAUUGUACACUUUGACAUAGUAGGUCAUUUUGAUAUACCAUCAGUUGGAGGAAACAUGUAUUUUCUUACCUUUAUUGAUGAUUUUAGUAGAAAAAGUUAGAUAUAUUUUCUUAAAAUAAAAUUAGAAAUACUUAAUAAAUUCAUGGAGUUCAAAACUAUGGUGGAAAAACAAAGUGGACAUUAUAUUAAGAUAUUCAAAACUAAUAACGAGGGCAAGUAUUUAUCAAAACUGUUUAAAAGCUUUUGUAAAGAGCACAUAAUUAUUCACCAAUUGAUAAUUACAUAUACACCACAACAAAAUGUAAUUGCUGAAAGAAAGAAAUGCACUAUUCUUGAUAUGGAAAGCAGCAUGGUAAAAGGUAAACAUCUACCAAGAACUUUUUGGGCUAAAGUUGUUCAAUGUGCAGUUUACCUAUUAACCGAUGCCUAGUAGAAAGUGUGAAAUAUAAGACGCUAAAUAAAGUUUGGAGCGAUCAAAAGCCAUGAGUUGGACAUCUCAAGUUUUUUGGAUGCAUCACAUAUGCUCACAUUCCUAAUUAGACGAGAGUGAAGCUCAAUAAAAAAGGCAUGAAAUGCAUCUUUAUUGGAUAUGAAAAAAGAAGCAAAGCAUAUAAACUACACAACCCUCUCACCAAGAAAGUUAUUAUUUCAAUAAAUUUUGAGUUCAAUGAAACAAAUUACUAAAGAUGGAGCGACAAAGAAAAGUAAAUUGAAGGACUAUUUUUUAGUGAUGAUAAAGAUGAUGACUUCAUUAAUCAAGAUAAAGAAGGUGAUGAUCAAAGCCAUCCACCAAGUCAUGUUGCAACAACUCCUACAACAUCGUCAUCACCAAGUAGUAGUAGUUCAAAGGAAGUGUCUACAAGAAUGUGCAGUCUACACAACAUUUAUAAUGCUAUAGCACCCAUAGAGACAACUCUUAAUUAUUCAUUAUUUUGUUUAAUUACAAAAUGUGAUCCUAUAACAUAUGAAGAAACAAUUGAAGAUAUCAAAUGAAAUAAGGAAACGGAUGAAGAAAUUGCAACAAUAAGAAGAAAUGAUACGUGAGAGUUAACAAGUUUGCUAAAAGGAUACAACCCAGUUAAAGUUAAAUGGGUGUACAAGAAAAAGACCAACAAAUAGGGGAAAAUGGAGAGUACAAAGAAAUUCUAGUUGUCAAAGGCUACAAGUAAAGACAUUGAUACGAACUCACCUCGGUGAUGAGUCAAGUUCAUUGAGCUAGAAUCGAGCUGAUUUAAGCUCAACAAGCUAAAUUUGAGCUAGGUCAGCUUGCGAAAAAUGGCAAGCCUCGCUUGGUGAGCUGAACCAAAGGCGUUCCCGACCGUGAUCGUAUUAGACAUGAAGUGGAUUAUGAUGAAGUGUUUGCUCCAGUAGCCAAAAUCAACACUAUAAGUCUUUUCACAACAAUUACAACACAAAACAAUGGAAGAUUUAUCAAAUGGACGUGAAGUUAUCAUUCCUUAAUAACUACUUAAAAUAAGAAGUUUACAUUGAACAACCACAUGGAUGUAGAAAACAAAGACAAUAAGACAAAUAUAUCGCUUAAAGAAAGCUUUAUAUGGUUUAAAUCAAGCCCCAAGCAUGGAACACAAGAAUAGAUGAGUACUUUUAGAAGAAUGAGUUCAUGAAAAGUCUAUAUGAGCAUGCCUUAUAUACGAAGAAAAAUGGAGAUGGUGACAUCAUGAUCGCAUGUUUAUACAUAAAUGAUAUGAUUUUCACAAGAAACAGACCAGGUAUGUUCAAUGACUUUAAGAAAGCUAUGACUAAAGAAUUUGAAAUGACAGAUAUUGAUGAGAUGUCAUGUUUUCUUGGAUGCAAAGUGAAGCAAAUGGAAGAUGAAAUAUUUGUGUUUCAAAAGCAAUAUGUGGAACAAAUCUUAAGCUAAUUCUAAAUGAAAGAUUGCAAGCCAGUAGCCACACCAGUGGAACCUAGCAUGAAGUUAAGUGUUAAUUCAACUAGCGCCAAUAAAUUCAACAUUAUUUAAAAGCAUCAUUUGAAGUUUAAAGUAUCUGACUAUCGUGCAGGAAAACAUAAUGUAUGCAAUGGGAUUAAUUAGCUGAUUCAUGAAGAAGUCAGAACAAAACCAUCUAAUUAUAGCAAAAAGAAUUUUGAGAUAUGUUAAAAGCACAAUGGAUCAUUUUUUUUACACUUAAAGUUCAAAAUUAGUUGGUUAGUCAUAAAAUGAUUAUCGUGGUGACUUGGACUAUCACAAAAGCAUAUCUGGAUAUUUAUUCCAUAUUGGCUCUACAACUUUUCCAGGGUCUUCAAAAAAGCAUCAAAUAGUAGCCUUCUCAGAAUGUGAAGCAGAAUACACUGCUAUAGUAUGCCCUUGUCAAGCAAUUUGGUUGAAGAAUAUUUUGAGCGAACUAACUCUUACACAGGAAGGUUCCAUUACAAUUUAUGUUGACAACAAGUCUACAAUAUCUCUUGCAAAGAAUCUUGUGUCCCAUAGCCAAAGCAAGCUCAUUGAUACAAAGUAUCACUUUAUUUGAGAGUUGGUGAAGAAUAAAAACAUCAAGAUCUACUACAAAAUGAAAUACCAAUUGGUAAACAUUUUACGAAGCAAUUGAAAGAGGGCGUAUUUAACAAACUUAAAAGAAAAACUUGGAAUAAAGAUCUCGGUUUAAGGAGAAGUGUUAGAAGUCAAAGCGACUUCUUAAAGUUGGAAAAGCAUAAAGCUAAGAGUGGCUUUACAAAUUGGUUUAAAACGUGGCAUGAAAUUAGUGGCAAAAUAGAAACAUGAAAGCUUGCUGAAAGUUUCUUAAAGAUUGAAAUUGUGUAAUGAUAAGGAUAAACAAAGCAUUAACAGUGGAGCUUAUUGGAUAACCAUGGAUUUGCUCGAAGCUUUACAAGCUUAUUACAGCAGCCUUUAACUCUAUUUAUGUUAUGUUAUAAAUAGCCCUUAUGUUAGUGUGUGUGCAUCACAAGUGAAAGAAAUAGAAAAAAAAAAGGAAUAUUGUGUGUGCAGUAGAAAGUAGCGUGAGUUAGAGUAAAAAGAAACUAGCGGCAACUAGUAAUUGAGAAAUAUAUAUAUUUGUAAUUUGCUAUUGUUUUAUAGAUAUUGUGUGAGUAAUAAAGUUGUUUCGAUUGUAAGGGUUAACUACGCUUCCAACAUUUAUCAACUCUGCCUGUAUACAUGGCACACUGUACUCAGCAUGGUUACUAGUCAGUCUCGAUCAACAUUACUUAACAAUCCGCGGCUGUUAAGAGGAAUUACCUAUAUUUAGUAUCUUUCCACCUUCAACAUAAUAUAUUUCAAGGCUCUUUGAAUCAUAACCUGGAGACCUUUUUCGAAAAAGAAACUUCGAGAAUUUUCUGUACCUAAUAGAAUUUAAUAACACGUUAUCUACAUCCUCCUGAUCAAACUCAUUAACAAACCUAUUCACAUAACUGAAUUCUAGGGUUCCUGUAAAUUUCCCCCAUGGCAGUUCCUUUAUUUAAAUUAUCCAAAUCCAGGUAAGCUUUUUUCUUUUGGUUUCCAUCCCCAUUGUGGCUUGUCUCCUUCCUCCAUUUCUAAGUUCUAACCAUCAUCAACGUUGCUCCAAACUUUUUCAAACACUUAUCAAUUUUUCUUUUAUUUUCAGCAAGACGUCGGGCCUUAUCCUUCGGAGCUUCUAUUAAACUGGCUUGCACUCUUCCUUUAUGGGGAGCCGGUGUACCAUGAUAUUAGUGUUUAGCCCAGGCAUAUCUUGAUACGACCAUACGAAGACAUCUUUGAAUUCUUGGAGCAACUCAAUGGGGUUUCACUUUGUCUUUGCGGUGAUACAAGCUCCGAUUUUCAUAUCUUUCUCUUCUCCUAAGCUCACAAUUUCUACUGAUUCUUUGUGAGGUAGGAUUUGUUUCUCAUCUUGUUCUACCAUCAUUAACAAAUGAGGAGAUAGGUUAUAAUUUUGAUCAUCUUCAAAGUCCUGAAGUUCCUCUAGACACAUAUCUUACUCAAAAGGAGAUUCUGAGUCAGUAGCAGUGUUGCUCAUAUCAUUGAUAUCUGGAAACCUGUUAUAUGAACGAAGAAAGACCCAAAAAAUAAAUGAAUCUAAGAAUAAUCAUUUGUGUGGUAUGAGUAUGAAUUAAAUGGAAGAAAUAAAAGAAUAUUUACUAAAAUGAAACACAACUAUGCAUUUUAUUAAAAUAAGGCUAUUUGACAUAUGCCUAUUUCACAAAAGGAUUCUUAUUGCUCCCAGGCUUAGAGCAAUAAGUAUGCUUUAACAUUACUUUGAAUUAGUUUUAAAAAUUGCAGGAAUCUUUUCCGUAACUUAAUUGUUCAGAACACUUUCGAGGAUAUAAGGACAAAUGCCUGACAGGUUUUCUUCCCUAAUUCUUUAUUUGGAUAUGGUGUUGAUGCUCAGAUUUCCCAACAUUCCUUCCAGUCCUUUGACCUCUUCAAAGAAUUCCAACUCUUUGUUAUCCAUUAGACUUUGCACCAAAGCUUUGAAUUCAACUCACUCUUGGAUUCCAUGACCUUUUUUAGUGGGGAACUCGCAGUAGCUCCUCACUUCUUUAGGUUUCUCCUCUGAAUCUUGCAUGAUUAAUCCUCCGUCUAUCAUCUUUUUCCAAACUCAUUUUAGUGAGGUUUUUACUUCCACCACAUCAAUUUUGGUUCUCUUUCCUCCACUUUCAAUUAUCGCAUUUACCCCUUGAUCUGAAUGACUGGGUAACAGAUUUCCUACCACAUUAGGUCCUAAUGGAUCAUCGAACCUAACGAUCCCCGUCUUGAUGAACCUCUUAAUCAACUUUUUAAAUGCAAUACAGUUCUUAAUUAAGUGUCCCGUUAUUCCUGCUUGGUACUCACGUUAAACAUUCACAUCGUACCAUUUUGGGAAUGGAAGUUGUAUGGGUUUUAAGUAAAACAGGGAUACCACAUGCGCAUCGAACAUAUUCUGACAUAACUCUCUAUAUAUCAUCAGGAUAGGUGUGAACUGGAGUUUUUUUGUGUUUGGUCUUGAGUUAGAUUCUUGCCUUGAGGGGCCUUGAUGGAUGGUUGUUAUGGUCUUUGGUUGGACAGUGACCGGUCUUGAAUAACCUUUAUUAUACACGCUCACGUUACUCACUUCAUUUUCCUUAUUCCUCGGGGCUGAUCUUUUGGCGUUUUUCCCCGCGUCUAUUUUCUCGCUCCUUACUACAUUUUCAAUCAUCUCACUAGACAUUACUAUAUCUGAGAUACUCUUGGUAGCGCUUUCCAACAUAUGGUUAAUGAACAAGGCUUUCAAAGUAUUUAUGAAAAGAAUUAUUGUCUCUUUCUCCAGAAGAGGCGGUUGGACUAGCGUUGCCACCUCUCUUCAUAUAUGAGCGUACUACCUGUUUCACUCUGCUUCUUUUUCAUGUUUUGCAAUGUAAUCCUUUCAGGCGUCAUGUUAGUUACAUAACUGCAUUGUUUCAUUAAAGUCUGUGCCAAUUUUUUUCAUGAGCUUAUUUUGGCACCAUUUAGCUGGUUGUACCACUUAGCAACCGACCCAACCAAACUCUCUUAGAAGUGGUGAAUUAAAAAUUGUUCAUUAUUGACGUAUCCCGUGAUUCUCUGGUAGAACAUUAUGAUGUGGGCUUAAAGACAACUAAUCUCAUUAUAUUUUUUGAAUUUUUGAGUCUUGAAUUUUAGUGGGAGCACUAGAUCCGGGACUAAACUUAAAUCCUUAGCAUCAACCUCGUAAAGGUAGUCAGCAUUCUCCAUAGCACUAAAUUUCUCCUCCAACCACUUGCAUUGAUCUUCUAGCUGUUUUGGCAAUUCUACUAUUGCUCUAUCCAUUUCAGCCAUGUCAUCCAAAUCGGAAAAACUGGGAUGGUCGGAUUAUCCUCGGGAUUGGAUUCUGAACCUGUUAGGUAGUUCACCGGUGCUGAGGUACCGACUUAAUAUUGUUGAGGUAUUAUGGUAACGGGUACCCUUCGUGGAUAUGUUUCUGGUUGGGCUUGGACAUUUACUAGGGUAAAGCCUAGGGGAUAUGUAGGGGAAAAGAAAGAAACAGCCAAACAAAAUCAAAUGAAAAUCAAGAAAAUAAAAUUGAAUGUGUUAAAUCUCAACAAAGUUUUGAAGUUGUAAAAUCUCAAAGAGCUUGGAGACUACUGAAGAUUGUACACUUUGACAUAGUAGGUCAUUUUGAUAUAGCAUCAGUUGGAAGAAACAUGUAUUUUCUUACCUUUAUUGAUGAUUUUAGUAGAAAAAGUUAGAUAUAUUUUCUUAAAAUAAAAUUAGAAGUACUUAAUAAAUUCAUGGAGUUCAAAACUAUGGUGGAAAAACAAAGUGGACAUUAUAUUAAGAUAUUCAAAACUAAUAACGAGGGCAUGUAUUUAUCAAAACUGUUUAAAAGCUUUUGUAAAAAGCACAUAAUUAUUCACUAAUUAAUAGUUACGUAUACCCCACAACAAAAUGGAAUUGCUGAAAGAAAGAAAUGCACUAUUCUUGAUAUGGAAAGAAGCAUGGUAAAAGGUAAACAUCUACCAAGAACUUUUUGGGCUAAAGCUGUUCAAUGUGCAAUUUACCUAUUAAUCGAUGCCUAGUAGAAAGUGAGAAAUAUAAGACGCUGAAUAAAGUUUGGAGCGAUCAAAAGGCAUGAGUUGGACAUCUCAAGUUUUUUGGAUGCAUCACAUAUGCUCACAUUCCUAAUUAGACGAGAGUGAAGCUCAAUAAAAAAGGCAUAAAAUUCAUCUUUAUUGGAUAUGAAAAAAGAAGCAAAGCAUAUAAACUACACAACCCUCUCACCAAGAAAGUUAUUAUUUCAAUAAAUUUUGAGUCCAAUGAAACAAAUUACUAAAGAUGGAGCGAAAAAAGAAAGUAAAUUCAAUGACUAUCUUUUAGUGAUGAUAAAGAUAAUAACUUCAUCAAUCAAGAUAAAGAAGGUGAUGAUCAAAGCCAUCCACCAAGUCAUAUUGCAACAACUCCUACAACAUCGUCAUCACCAAGUAGUAGUAGUUCAAAGGAAGUGUCUACAAGAAUGUGCAGUCUACACAACAUUUAUAAUGCUAUAGAACCCAUAGACAACUCUUAAUUAUUCCUUUUUUUUGUUUAAUUACAAAAUGUGAUCCUAUAACAUAUGAAGAAACAAUUGAAGAUAUCAAAUGAAAGAAGGAAAUGGAUGAAGAAAUUGCAACAAUAAGAAGAAGUGAUACGUGACAGUUAACAAGUUUGCAAAAAGGAUACAACCUAGUUGAAGUUAAAUGGGUGUACAAGACAAAGACCAACAAAUAGGAAAAAAUAGAGAGUACAAAGAAAUUCUAGUUGUCAAAGGCUACAAGUAAAGACAUUGAUACGAACUCGCCUCCGUGAUGAGUCAAGUUCAUUGAGCUAGAAUCGAGCUGAUUUAAGCUUAACGAGUUAAAUUUGAGCUAGGUCAACUUGCGAAAAAUGGCAAGCCUCGCUUGGUGGGCUGAACCAAUGGGGUUCCCGACCGUGAUCGUAUUAGACAUGAAGUGGAUUAUGAUAAAGCCAAAAUCGAAACUAUAAGUCUUUUCACAACAAUUACAACACAAAACAAUAGAAGAUUUAUCAAAUGGACGUGAAGUUAUCAUUCCUUAAUAACUACUUAAAAUAAGAAGUUUACAUUGAACAACCACAUGGAUGUAGAAAACAAAGACAAUAAGACAAAUAUAUCGCUUAAAGAAAGAUUUAUAUGGUUUAAAUCAAGCCCCAAGCAUGGAACACAAGAAUAGAUGAGUACUUUCAGAAGAAUGAGUUCAUGAAAAGUCUAUAUGAGCAUGCCUUAUAUAUGAAGAAAAAUGGAGAUGGUGACAUCAUGAUCGCAUGUUUAUACAUAAAUGAUAUGAUUUUCACAAGAAACAGACCAGGUAUGUUCAAUGACUUUAAGAAAGCUAUGACUAAAGAAUUUGAAAUGACAGAUAUUGAUGAGAUGUCAUGUUUUCUUGGAUGCAAAGUGAAGCAAAUGGAAGAUGAAAUAUUUGUGUUUCAAAAGUAGUAUGUGGAACAAAUCUUAAGCAAAUUCUAAAUGAAAGAUUGCAAGCCAAUAGCCACGCCAAUGGAACCUAGUAUGAAGUAAAGUGUUAAUUCAACUAGCGCCAAUAAAUUCAACAUUAUUUAAAAGCCUCAUUGGAAGUUUAAAGUAUCUGACUAUCGUGCAGAAAAACAUAAUGUAUGCAAUGGGAUUAGUUAGUUGAUUCAUGAAGAAGUGUCACGGGGCUAGACCUUUGGUCUCGCAAACCGUGCGGCCUUAGACGAUCCGUUCGUCCAAACUCGCCCAAGUCAGCCUUAACUCAAGUGAGGAUUCCUUAGAAUUCCUCUAAGGCACCAAUUUGUAUAGCGGAAGCGAUUGUUCCAAAAGAAGCUAAGCCAAAUAAUAAUAGAAAGCCACAGAAAAGAAUGCACACAAGGUGUUUGAGUAAAUGCUCUCAGAACUCUUAUUACUCUUAAGAAUUCAGAAUACAAUGGAAUGAGUACAAAUGAGGGGGAGGCUCUCUAUUUAUAGUUGAGCUCCCCAAAACUGACGGUCAAGAUACAAUUACAUCGACGGACGAGAUUAACUAUAUCCCUUUAUUUUAGGGAUUUACAAGAUAAGCCUUAUCAAAUCUAAUCUAAUCUUUACAAGAUAAGAUUCCCUCUAUCUUCUAAGAUUAGUUACCAUAUCAGCCUGAAUCUCUUCGUUAUCGGGCCAACCGGGCUUCAAUCUGACAGGCUCUUCCAAUUGCUCAUUGAAUCGGGCCAGUUCUCGUGGGCCAAAUGAUCCCCAUCUGAGCAAUAGACCUCCAUUGGAUGCAUUUGGUGCGAUGGUCACGGGCUUUGAACUGCGGCCCGUGACAUUCUCCCCCACCCAUUCUCGUAACGUCCUCGUUGCGACUUCCGAAUGGCACUGACUUGGUUCGCCUCGGUCUCGUCUUGAUGCCUUAGCCUUUCCCUUCCUUUGGGACUUUUGCCUCGGCUUCCACCGCUUCUUAACUCGAACCGUCCUACUCAUUUGUACAUCUUGACGACAAGAAGCUAUGUCGCUCUCUUGCCCACAUUCUAACUUGACUCGAACAGAAUCCUCUUGAUUCAACACCCUUGGCCUCGCUUUGCCCACCGUCUCUCGGCCUCUUUGCUCAAGAACUUCGAAAGGGCCCUUACGUUCUUGCCAAGUACACAAGUUAGAAUGCAAAACACUAUCACAGUGUUCGGAAUGUACCUUACUCGCAGCAUUUACUCGUCCCGACUGUCUUUGCAUCGCUCCAUUUCCCUUGAAGCCCGAUGCACAACCCAUCUUCCCCAAAGGUGUCGGCUCCACAGUCGAAUCUGCAGGCUUCAUAUCGAACUCUUGCGCCACUAACACUUUCGAAGGAGCUUUCGUAACCACUCGUUCUAUCGAGUCGAUGUUCCUCCCAUACGAAACAUCCUCGACUAGUUGGAUUGACGACAACACCUUUGCCCCUACUUUCAUAUUUCGAUGCACCGGAACAAUAAUCUUUGUUAACGGACCGGUGAUAAUAUGGAUUUGAUCGGCCCAUGGAUACAGAACUGUUUGAAUCCUGUCAAGGAAGUUUAAGCCAAGUACAUAAUCGUAAUCAUCUAAUUCGAUUACCUCAAAGUCUUCCUUGCCCUUCCAUUUGCCGAUGUGUAGCUUCACAUUCCGAACUACACCCAUAGUCGGGGCCUCCUUGGAAUUUACUGUCUUGAUCUUCUUCUUCGAUUUCUUAAUCGGCAGACCAAGCUUCCUUGCAGCCUUUUCUGAUAUGAACAAGUCAGAUGCUCCCGUAUCAAUAAGAGCAUUCUACUUCCGACCCGCAAUGUUGAUAUCUACAAACAUCAACCCUUCUUUACCAUUCCUCUUCUCAGGAAUGAGCACCAUCGAAUUGAGCCUCGAUGGCUUUUCCUCAAUAUGCUUCGCCUCUUCCGGCUCAUCACUUCUCUUGAUAGCCAAAACUGAAGAUACCUUUGGGCAGUCCCUCUUCAUAUGCGGUCCUUUACAAAAGUAGCACCGUAACUUUCCCCUCUUUUCUUUCGGGCUAUUAGGUCUCCACUUCCCAUUUCGUGGUUUCCUAUCAUCACCAUCACUACUACUACUAUUGCCAUCAUAGCUUUGUCCAUCUUCACCCUCCUCAUGGUACCCGCCAUUGCCCUUCCUAUUGGGCUUGGAAGUUUCAAACCUGUCCCUUCUCGGAGCAAGUUCCACUAUGGACUCCGCUACCAUCAUGGCUUUGGUAAGUUCCCGAACUCCUCGACGUUAUAAUUCUUGCUUCGCCCAUGGUUUCAACCCAUCUGUAAAGGAGAAAAAUGCUUCUUUCUCGCUCAAAUCAGAGAUUUGGAGCAUGAGUUCACUGAACUCCCGCACAUACUCCCUAAUCGUGCCUCGUUGCGUUAGCCGACGCAACUUCGCUCGAGCUUCAUCCUCGGCAUACUCGGGGUAAAACUGUGCUUUAAAUUCAUCUUGGAAAUCCUUCCAAGUCCCAAUCUCAGUACCACCACGUCUUACAUCAGUGGACCUACGUCUCUACCAUAACAAAGCAACGUCAGUGAAAUACAUAGCAACAGUGUUUACCUUUGUAACAUCAUCCUCGAUGUUCAUCGCACGAAAGUAUUGCUCCAUGGCCUAAAGAAAGUUGUCCACCUCACUUGCAGACCUUGCCCCUUUAAACGCCUUCGGCUUGGGCACAUCCAUCGCUUGUGGCUUCGGCUUUGAAGCCAACAUUCCAUUCCCUAUGGCAGCCUUGAAAAUCUUGAGCUCCCCCUUAAACUCAUUAAUCUCCUCCUUCAAAGCUGUCACCAUAGCCUCGAGAGCAUCGUUCUUUUCAGCCAGCUUAUUCUCCGAGGAACCGAUAGUAUCCCACACAAAUUCCCUCAGCUGUCCUUGCAAUGUUCGCAACCCAUCAUUGUGUCUAUCAUCGACAUCGUCGAUCCUCUCCUUGACGUCCCCCACGGACUCCUCGAGAGUGACGACUCGAUCCUCCAAAGCUGAAAUUAAGUCCCUUGAUCGACUCACUUUUCUGGCCCUUCCUCGAGUCUCCAUUGGCUCAUUCUGACCAACAACUUCUUUCGACAUCCCAACAGUGCCUUCGAACCAAAAGCUCUGAUACCAACUGUCACGGGGCUAGACCUUUGGUCUCGCAAACCAUGCGGCCUUAGGCGAUCCGUUCGUCCAAACUCGCCCAAGUCAGCCUUAACUCAAGUGAGGAUUCCUUAGAAUUCCUCUAAGGCACCAAUUUGUAUAGCGGAAGCGAUUGUGCCAAAAGAAGCUAAGCCAAAGAACAAUAGAAAGCCACAGAAAAGAAUGCACACAAGGUGUUUGAGUAAAUGCUCUCAGAACUCUUAUUACUCUUAAGAAUUCAGAAUACAAUGGAAUGAGUACAAAUGAGGGGGAGGCUCUCUAUUUAUAGUUGAGCUCCCCAAAACCGACGGUCAAGAUACAAUUACAUCGACGGACGAGAUUAACUAUAUCCCUUUAUUUUAGGGAUUUACAAGAUAAGCCUUAUCAAAUCUAAUCUAAUCUUUACAAGAUAAGAUUCCCUCUAUCUUCUAAGAUUAGUUACCAUAUCAGCCUGAAUCUCUUCGUUAUCGGGCCAACUGGGCUUCAAUCUGACAGGCUCCUCCAAUUGCUCAUUGAAUCGGGCCAGUUCUCGUGGGCCAAAUGAUCCCCAUCUGAGCAAUAGACCUCCAUUGGAUGCAUUUGGUGCGAUGGUCACGGGCUUUGAACUGCGGCCCGUGACAGAAGUCAGAACAAAACCAUCUAAUUAUAGCAAAAAGAAUUUUGAGAUAUGUUAAAAGUACAAUGGAUCAUUUUUUUCACACACAAAGUUCAAAAUUGGUUGGUUAGUCAUAAAAUGAUUAUGGUGGUGACUUGGACUAUCACAAAAGCACGUCUGGAUAUUUAUUCCAUAUUGGCUCUACAACAUUUCCAGGGUCUUCAAAAAAGCAUCAAGUAGUAUCCCUCUCAGCAUGUGAAGCAGAAUACACUGCUAUAGUAUGCCCUUGUCAAGCAAUUUGGUUGAAGAAUAUUUUGAGCGAACUAACUCUUACACAGGAAGGUUCCAUUAUAAUUUAUGUUGACAACAAGUCUACAAUAUCUCUUGCAAAGAAUCUUGUGUCCCAUAGCCAAAGCAAGCUCAUUGAUACAAAGUAUCACUUUAUUUGAGAGUUGGUGAAGAAUAAAAACAUCAACCUAAUCUACUACAGAAUGAAAGACCAAUUGGUAAGCAUUUUACUAAGCAAUUGAAAGAGGGCGUAUUUAACAAACUUAAAAGAAAAACUUGGAAUAAAGAUCUCGGUUUAAGGAGAAGUGUUAGAAGUCAACUGAAUUCUCAAAGUCGGAAAAGCAUGAAGCUAAUAGUGGCUUUACAAAUUGGUUUAAAACGUGGCAUGAAAUUAGUGGCAAAACAGCAACAUGAAAGCUUGCUGAAAGUUUCUUAAAGAUUGAAAUUGUGUAAUGAUAAGGAUAAACAAAGCAUUAACAGUGGAGCUUAUUGGAUAAAAAUGGAUUUGCUCGAAGCUUUACAAGCUUAUUACAGCAGCCUUUAAGUCUAUUUAUGUUAUGUUAUAAAUAGCCCUUAUGUUAGUGUGUGUGCAUCACAAGUGAAAGAAAUAGAAAAAAAAACAAAAAACAAAAGGAAUAUUGUGUGUGCAGUAGAAAGUGGCGUGAGUAAGAGUAAAAAGAAACUAGCGGCAACUAGUAAUUGAGAAAUAUAUAUAUAUUUGUAAUAAUUUGCUAUUGUUUUAUAGAUAUUGUGUGAGUAAGAAAGUUGUUUCGAUUUUAAGGGUUAACUAUGCUUCCAACAUUUAUCAACUCUGCCCGUAUGCAUUGCACACUGUACUCAGCAUGGUUACUAGUCACUCUCGAUCAACAUUACUUAACAAUCCGCAGCUGUUAAGAGGAAUUACCCGUAUUUAGUAUCUUUCCACCUUCAACAUAAUAUAUUUCAAGGCUCUUUGAAUCAUAACCUAGAGACUUUUUUCGAAAAAGAAACUUCGAGAAUUUUCUUUACCUAAUAGAAUUUAAUAACACGUUAUCUACAUCCUCCUGAUCAAACUCAUUAACAAACCCAUUCACAUAACUGAAUUCUAGGGUUCCUAUAAAUUUCCCCCAUGGCAUGCAGUACCUUUAUUUAAAUUAUCCAAAUCCAGGUAAGCUUUUUUCUUUUGGUUUCUAUCCCCAUUGUGGCUUGUCUCCUUCCUCCAUUUCUAAGUUCUAUCCAUCAUCAACGUUGUUCUAAACUUUUUCAACCACUUAAAAAAAAUUAUAUAAAAAAUUAUUUUUUUCUUUUUUGGCUAUUUUUUUCUCAAUAAAAUAAUUUUUUAAUAAAAUGAAAAAGAGUCAUGACAAUGAUGUCAUGUUGAAAGCAAACCCCAAAAGUUUUCUUGGUUACCUUAUCUUGAAGGGGCUCUAAAAGAUAAAGGUUUUUAACUGUCUUUUUUUUUUAAGUUAUUCAAGAGUUUCAAUUUCUUUUGUAAAAUAAAAUUUUAUUUCUUGAAUUUUAUUUUAUUUCAGGGUUUUUAUUUUAUCUUCACCGAAUUCAUUUAUGAAUGUGAAGUUGGAUUAUUUAAUUUUUGGAUGUAAAGUAAGAUUUCUAAGUUGGUAUUAUCAAUAAAAAGAUAUUUUUAUGGAAGGAAGUAAGGAUAAUGUUAAGGAGAAAUUUCUUCAUGAAAAUUUUCUUCCUUUCAUUUUUCUAAGUAGAUUGAGAUAGAGUGGGAUGGAUUUGAGUGAAAAAGAAAGGUUGAUGUUUUUUAUAUAUAAUUUCUUCCCCUAUACAUUAUAGAUGCUACAUAAUCUAUUGCUAAUAACAUUAUAUUACAACAUUAUAGCAUUCAGCAAAAACUUAACUAAAGAUAUGAAGAUAUUUUUUCUCCAAGCCGUUUACUUUUUAUUUUUUGUUUUGUUCAACGGUGGUGUCAGCCUUCGGGCUGGCUAUUGCCUAUCUAUUUCUUCUCCCAUUAACCCUUUCUUUCUUCCUUCUUCUCAUCCACUAUACAUGUCUUCUCUCUCUUCAGUUUAUAGAUUUAUUUUGUGGGUAUCUUUAUUGUCUUCACAAGUUGUGAUGGACAGAUGACGGUGACUGUCGUUCAUUAAAACCCCACUAACCAUUAGUAAUUUUUAUUAGAAUGUGGGUGGCUCUUCGUCAACUUCUUAAUAUGUUUCUAUUUUGAGAGUAUUUUAAAUUAAUAAAUGACUUCACGUGUCAAUUUGGAUCCGUAUUAUCUUAAGUUUUAUAUUUUUUUGUUCGUUUUUUUUAUUGUUUAAUAAAUAUUCAGUUUUAGAAGUUUUUGUCUACUCUUGUAGCACAUUUUUUUAGUCUUGCUUAUGCAUGUAAUCUUAGUUUUACAAGUGAUUUUAAGGAUGAUUUUGUUGUCGUCCUCUCUAGUUUGAUGAAUGCUCGAUUCUUUUGUCGAUUUUUGCUCGAUGUUUUGGACCAUUCGACGCUGAUUUUCUUAUCGUAUUAAGUGUUUGCAAUCAUUCUAGAUAUAUUGUGCUUGAGUUGUGACAAAGUCAAUUCUCAACGUAUCAUAAUAUUCAAUUGAUGCUGAGGCUAAAACUUUCGUUGUGUUGAUGGAGCUUGUCAUUUACCAUCUAUGACGAGUAUUUGCUAUUUUUUCUCUGAAUUGCAUGGUUCCAUUUAUUGAAUAAAUUAAUAAAUUUACCUUUAAAAAGAAAAACUAAAGAUACGAUGAAAAAGGAACCAUGUGUACCAGGGAAAGUUAAAGCAGUACAUAUAAUUAAGGAACCACAUAAUUUAAUACUAGCCAAUUUGGUAGCACUUGGUCAUCAAAGACUAGAACAAUUUUUAUGAUUAAAAUAUUUAUUUAGUAAUUGAUUGAUAUAUCGUUUUAUUUAGAGAAUAUAUAUUUUAUUUUUUAAAACAAUAUAAUUUUAAUAUCUUUUUAAAUUACAAAAAAAAGCUCAAACUAAUAAUGAGAAUAAUGGUAAUUAAGUUUAAUUAUUACUAAUAAUGUGAAAUAGUAUGGUAAGAAGCACUUAAUCAAUAUAUUCAAAAUGUGUUGGAUUUGUGGGAUUCUUAUAAUUGAGAAAGAAAAGAAAAAGAAAGAAACAGAAUCAAAUGAAAAUAGAGAAAAUAAAGUUGAAUGUGUCAAAAACAAGUAGAAUGCUUUUUCUUUUCAACGUUAAUUUCAUGUGAAUUACUAUUCCUUCAACUUGGUUUGUCUUUUGCAAUCAUUACAAUAUUGAUAAUCAAGUUUAUUGUAAAUUAAUCAUUAAUCUUUAGUAUAAGAGCCUAGUUACUUCUACUCACCCUCCGUCAACUUUCCUCCAAAUAUAGCACUUCUUAAUGUUUGUUUUGAGAAACUACCUCUCUUCUUUUGUUCUCAGUUUGUUUAGAGGUGUGUUAAUUGGCCAGCCUUUUUGCGACAAAAAAGAAUCUUGAAAAUCUCCAAGUACCAAGUAAAUCCCAUCGAUUUCUUCAACUUAGCUACUAAGUUCCAAUGGUUAGAUUCGAUAAUGAGACAUCCUCCUCUUCCUCCUCCUCCUCAUCAUCAUUGGAAUCAUCUUCUUCAGUUUCUCGAGGGAAAUAUGAUGUUUUCUUGAGUUUCAGAGGUGAGGAUACCCGCAGGAAUUUCACGGAUCAUCUUUAUGCUGCAUUCAAAAGGAGAGGAAUCACCACUUUUAGGGAUGACGAAAAGCUCGAGACAGGUGAACCCAUAGCACCUGAGCUCUUCAAAGCAAUUCAUGAGUCAUGGUGCUCUGUAAUCGUUUUGUCGGAAGGGUAUUGUUUCUCGAGUUGGUGCCUACAAGAGCUUUCCGAGAUUAUUCAACAGAAAAACAACAAGGGACAUAAAGUCUUUCCUAUUUUCUAUUAUGUGGAUCCAUCUGAUUUGAGAAAACAAACCGGAAAAGUUCUAGAAGCUUUUCUUAAGCAUGAAAAUAAUUUCCAGGACAACAAAGAGAAGACACAAAGGUGGCGAUCUGCUUUAACUCAAGUAGCUAACAUCAAAGGAUGGCACUUGAGUAACAGGUAACUAUCAUAUUCUUUCACUUCAAUAAUAUCUUACCAGCAUCAAGUUGGAAAUUUGAGGCAUUAGCUAAGGAUUGUGCCCUUAAAGUUUAACUAAGCUAUUUCCUUUGCUUUGUAUUUGAAGGCAUGAAUCAGAACUUAUUGGAGAAAUCAUUGAAAAGGUAUCAACAAAAUUAUGUCAAACAUUUGCAAGUGCUCCUAAUGACAUGAUUGGAAUUGAAUCACGUUUGGAAGAGUUAAAUUGCAAAAUAGGCAUAGGGGAGGAAGAUGAUAGUGUUCGGAUUAUAGGGAUUUGUGGUAUGGGCGGGUUAGGUAAAACAACUCUUGCAAGAUUUGUUUAUACCCAAAUUUCAAGUCAUUUUGAAGGCCAAAGCUUUCUGGCCGAUGUUCGUGAAGUUGCGGAGAAACAUGGACUUGUUUAUUUGCAGAAACAACUUCUUUCCCAAAUUUUUCCAGAGGAAAGUUUCAAGUUUUUUAAUGUUCAUGAUGGGAAUGACAUCAUAAGUCGUAUGUUAUCUCAUAAAAAGAUUUUUGUUGUUAUUGAUGAUGUGGAUAACAUACAACACUUAAAAUGUUUGAUAGGCAGGCGAGCUUGGUUUGGUUUAGGAAGCAGGAUCAUCAUAACAACAAGAGACGAGCACCUGCUGCAAAUCUACGGAGUGGAUGAUGUGUAUAAUCCGACGAAACUGAAUGCCAAGGAAGCACUUCGCCUUUUCAGUUUGAAAGCUUUCAAAAGUGAAACACCUGCAAUGGAAUUUUUUGAGCUUUCUAAACGUGUAGUGGAAUAUGCCAAUGGCCUUCCGUUAGCUCUUGAAGUUUUUGGUUCUUUUCUGUCUGGCAGAUCAGAUGAAGCUCAAUGGAGAAGUGCUAUUGAAAGACUUAAAAAGGAGUCCAACAAAGAAAUUCUAGACAGGCUUCAAAUAAGCUUUGAUGGGUUAGAAAAAUCGGAGAAAGAUAUAUUUUUGGAUAUUGCAUGCUUCUUCAAAGGAGAAGACAAAGAUAUGGUAACCAAAAUUCUCGAUGGUUGUGGCUUUUUCCCGGAUAUUGGAAUAGAUGUUCUCAUCAAGAAAUCUCUUGUAACAAUUGAUGAAGACAACAAAUUGUCGAUGCAUGACUUGUUACAAGAGAUGGGAAGGAAAAUUGUUUACCAAGAAUCUCCUAAUGAACCUGGAAAACGUAGUAGAUUGUGGGACGAAAAGGAUACUAAUUAUGUGCUAAUAGGAAACACUGUAAGUCUUUAGCACUAUUAACUGUUACUCCACCCUUGAAGAUUUGUUGAUUCAUACGAUACUAGGAUGCAAGUCUAGCUUUGAACUAUUUUUGGACGUGCAUUGCACUGUUAAGUCAUUAAAUUUACCAUAUUAAUUAGUUGAUUGCUCUGAUUUUCAGGCAACGGAAGUUGUUCAAGGUCUAGUCAUCGAUUCUAUCAGGUGUAAAUUCAUACACCUAUCUGUGUAUAUGUUGUUGAUUACUCUAUAUAUUGUAAAGCUCAUUCCUCUUUUUCCUUUGGUGGUUAUCAGGAAACAGAACACUUGGACUUUGAGUGCUGAUGCCUUUUUGACAAUGAACAGGCUAAGACUGCUCAGAGUCUUCAAUGUUCCAAAUUCUCGUGAUUUCAAAUAUCUUAGUAACGAGUUAAGGCUUUUAGAAUGGCAUGGAUAUCCUUUCAAAUCCUUCCCUUCAAGCUUCCAACCAGAGAACCUUGUUGCACUUCUUCUCCCUUAUAGCCGCAUUGAAAAGUUGUGGAAGCCAAACAUGGUAAGAGUUACUUUGUUUGAUCAAUUAAUUUUGACCAAGAUAACAUAAACACAAAAUACCAAAAAUAAAAUGGCAUUUCAUCUUUGGUUUUCUUUUUCAUUGUUUCCUUUUACAGCCUUUAUUUAAGUUAAAAUUGGUCGACCUCAAAGGUUGUAAAAACCUUGUGAAAACACCAGACUUCAGUAUGGCCCCAAAUCUUGAAAGUUUGAUUCUGGAAGGUACUGCAAUAGUAGAUAUUGAUCCUACCGUCAAGUUUCUAAGGAGGCUGAAGCUUUUGAAUUUAAGAAACUGCAAGAGACUUAGGAUUUUCCCAUCCAAAAUUGGGAAUGGAUCUCUACAAACAUUAAUUCUUUCAGGUUGCUCAAAUAUAGACAGGAUUCCAGAGAUUGUGGGGGAAAUGGAAUGUCUGAAAGAGCUUUGUUUGGAUGGGACUGGUAUUAAAGAACUUCCCUCUACAAUUGGACAUCUCAGGAGUCUUAUGUUGCUAAAUUUGAAAGAUUGCAGUAAGCUUGAGAGUCUCCCAAGCAGCAUAGGUGGGUGUGAAUUCCUUAAAACUCUUAUUCUCUCUGGCUGCUCUAAACUUAAAAAUUUUCCUGAGAGUUUGCGACAACUAGAAUCUUUGGAGGAGCUUAACCUGAGUGAGACUGCCAUAACGACACCACCAUCCUUCAUCUUUCAUUUGAAAAAUCUCAAGUUUCUUUCUUUCCAAGGAUGCAAGGGAC